RNAcentral lists this ribosomal RNA (552 nucleotides) under uncultured Klebsiella sp. Its description in RNAcentral is "bacterial SSU rRNA". It matches the Rfam family "Bacterial small subunit ribosomal RNA", at positions 8 to 551 of the family's 1533-position model. The record is from RNAcentral. Lineage: Bacteria; Pseudomonadati; Pseudomonadota; Gammaproteobacteria; Enterobacterales; Enterobacteriaceae.
AGAGUUUGAUCCUGGCUCAGAUUGAACGCUGGCGGCAGGCCUAACACAUGCAAGUCGAGCGGUAGCACAGAGAGCUUGCUCUCGGGUGACGAGCGGCGGACGGGUGAGUAAUGUCUGGGAAACUGCCUGAUGGAGGGGGAUAACUACUGGAAACGGUAGCUAAUACCGCAUAACGUCGCAAGACCAAAGUGGGGGACCUUCGGGCCUCAUGCCAUCAGAUGUGCCCAGAUGGGAUUAGCUAGUAGGUGGGGUAACGGCUCACCUAGGCGACGAUCCCUAGCUGGUCUGAGAGGAUGACCAGCCACACUGGAACUGAGACACGGUCCAGACUCCUACGGGAGGCAGCAGUGGGGAAUAUUGCACAAUGGGCGCAAGCCUGAUGCAGCCAUGCCGCGUGUGUGAAGAAGGCCUUCGGGUUGUAAAGCACUUUCAGCGGGGAGGAAGGCGGUGAGGUUAAUAACCUCAUCGAUUGACGUUACCCGCAGAAGAAGCACCGGCUAACUCCGUGCCAGCAGCCGCGGUAAUACGGAGGGUGCAAGCGUUAAUCGGAAU